This 253-nucleotide ribosomal RNA is filed under the name uncultured bacterium. RNAcentral's name for it is "partial 16S ribosomal RNA". It matches the Rfam family "Bacterial small subunit ribosomal RNA", at positions 524 to 776 of the family's 1533-position model. The record is from RNAcentral.
UACAGAGGGGGCAAGCGUUAUUCGGAAUUAUUGGGCGUAAAGGGCGCGUAGGCGGCUUUGCAAGUGACGGGUGAAAUCCCUCGGCUUAACCGAGGAACUGCCUGUCAAACUGCAUGGCUUGAGACCGGGAGAGGUGAGUGGAAUUCCCAGUGUAGCGGUGAAAUGCGUAGAUAUUGGGAGGAACACCAGUGGCGAAGGCGGCUCACUGGACCGGUACUGGCGCUGAUGCGCGAAAGCGUGGGGAGCAAACAGG